GGUUCCAAAAAUGUAACCACUACUCCUACUACUACUAGUAUAGCUAACUACUACUACACCUUUUUCUCUUUCUUUCUUUCUCUCUUUCUAUCUAUCUUUCUUACUAGGCAAACACCCUUUAUUUUUAAUUUUCUUUUUUAUCUUUUUCUUUUUGUUGUAGAACCAAAUGAUUAUGUUGAUUAUGGUGGUGGCUAGUAUAUUUUUUGAGAAAGAAAAAAAAGCCAAUAUAAAAAAGCCAAAUAUAUAUAUACCAUUAUAUAUUAUCAUCAGAAAACCAUGAAGAUCGAUCGGAAAAGAAACCUAGCUAUAACCUAGCUAGGUAUUAUUUGAUCAUAUAUAUAUAUUUAUAUAUGUAUAUGAGUGUAUAUAUAGUUGAUCCAUAUGAUAUAGAUCGAUGAUGAAGAUCAGUUUCAAUGGCGGGUGGGAAGCUUCUUUUGAGGUGAAUGUUGUCUGGCACGAGGUCACCAAUUUCAACUUUAUAAUUUAUUAAUUUUUGGCUGGUUAAUUAUUUACCGAUCAACCAUAUCAAAACUAUAUAUGAUUUUAUAUAUAUAUUUAUAGAUGUGUUUAUAUGGUUAAUAUUAGUGUCUUCGGACCAGGCUUCAUUCCCCUCAACUACUGCUUCGAUCAUCGAUCGAUCUCACUUCAUCAGGUGGGUUAUUCCAAGUUCUAGCAAAGAUCGAUUGAUCAUUAAUUUUAUGAUAUUUUUAUAAUCAAAUGAUCUUAUUAUUAGAUGUUGAAGAACUUGGUUGAUUUUUUAUAUGAUAACUUAUGAUAUUAUUCUUUAGGAAUAAACCAAACCCUAUAUUUUUGUAUUUGCUCAUAUAUUUCAUUAUAAGUUUAUAUAGUUAUGAUGAAUUUUAUGUGUUUGUUUUCUCAACUCUUUUUAAUUUCUCUAUAUGAUCAGUAGUAGUAAUUUCUCUUUAUCCUAUAUACACACACACACACACAUAUAUAUAUAUAGCUAGGGUUAUAAGAACUGCUGUAUACUUCUAUUAAUUCUUCAUUAAUAUUAUUCAAGAAUAUUGUACAAUAUAUACUAUAUAUAACUGUAAAUAAAAUUGUCCUAAUUAGUAUUAUUAUUAUUUUAUGAUAAUGAUCAUCUACUCUAAUAAAUUAAGUAAUUAAUAAGAUAGAGAUUUGUUUUUUGUUUUCUACUUCAUAUCUUCUUCUUAAUUUCCCAGUAAUUAAAAAUAUUUAGUAUAGUGGGAAACCAUGUGCAAAAGCUGUAAAUCUGCGUUUUCUGAUCAGCUUUACUAAAUGUUCUUUAAUUUUAAAUGUAUAUUAUUAUUAGACGACUGAUCAAUAUUUAUAUAUAUAUAUAUGUAUAUGUAUAUAUAAACUUGUAGUGGAAGACAUAGAUAUAUGGAUGAAUGAAUAAUUAACAUAGUGAUAUAUAGAUAUUCCUUUGUGAAAUUGAUUCUAUUUUUGACACUCUUUUUUUUAUUUUUCUCUUCUUUACGAAAAGAGGUAUCUUUCUGUCAUCUUUUGCAAAUCUUUCUUUUCUCUAGUCUUCUUUAUAUUCCUGUUCAUUUCAUCUUUCUUUUUCUUUUGAUUAGUUACUUUCUUUAUAUACAUUUUUGGAUAUAACAAAGUUAAUUCUACCGAUUUAAUAUCAUGAGAUUGUACAUUUAUACAAAAUAUAUAUAUAUAUCUUCUAUUCCUUUUUGCUGCAAAUUAUUAUAGUCUUGAUCAUAUGAUAUAUAUAUAUAAACUAUAAUAAUAGGUUGAUCCUUUAUUCAUUAAUCAUGCAUAUAUAACCUAAAAAGAGUAGUACAUUUUAUUCAAAAGUAAUGCUGAGAUUGCAUAUAUACAAAAAGAGUACAUCUAUACAUUUGUAUAUAUAUAUAUAAAUAUAUAUGACAGUAUAUUAACACUACUAUAUAUCGGUACGUGUGUGUACAUAUAUAGGACUCUCCUGACGAACUUUUCUCUUUUGCUGCAAUUAUAAACUUCAUGAGUAUACAUAGAUAGAUAUAUACAAAUAUACUUAUCCUAUAAAUAUAUAUAUAUAAGUCAUGUAUGUGUGCAUAUAUCUUGACCCUUAUACUACAUCUUCAAUUUGCAUAUAUAUAUAUAUAUAUAUCAUAUAUCUUGCUCGUUGCUUUGGAUAUAGACACAUAUAUAUAACAAUAAUGUUUUCUGAUAAUUAAGCUAGGUUAACUAAUAUAUUAUACUUCAUGUUUGUUGCUGUAUAGAUAUAUAUAUAGUGCAUAUAUAUAUAUAAUUCAUAAGGUCCUAAUGCUAACUUGAUUGGGACUUGGGAGUAUACAUAUGCAUUUGCUAGCUGUGACAUUGGCAUAAAUAUAUCAAUAUAUAUAUAUCGAUUACUGUAUAUUAUUAUAAACCAGGUAGUCUCACUGUUUUCAACAAGAGUAUAAUACAGUAAUAUAUAUUUAUACAUAUAUAUAUAUAUAUGUAUAGACACGUGAAGCUUAAGCGUAUAUACUAUUGAUUCUAAUGAUCAGUUUUAUUAAUUUUUAAAUUGGUGAAUAUAUAUAUAUAUUAUAUAAAUAUAUAAUAUAGUGAGUAGUGAGAUCGUAGUGGGUAGCAGGUGCAAUGUAUGCAAAGACAAAGUAAAAGAAUAUAUAUCUAGGGUAAAGAACUUUAAUUUGAUGAGGUGGGAAACAUAAAAAAGUUUUCAAGUACUAGCUGGAAUAUAUAUAUAUCGGUUUUAUUUAUAUAAUAAUUCUGGUAAUGUAUAUUGAUGAAAUACUAGCAUAUUAAUUAUUAUUAUAUAUAUAUAUGCAUUCAUUUUUGGAGAGAUGUGAAAACAAGCACUUAAUCUAUAAUUAAGCAUGUACAUAUGUAUAUAUAUAUAUAUAUAAUACUUUUACGGUGCACAAGGUGCUUGCCUUGUGUGUUUCAGGUCGGUGAAUAUUUUUCGGUGUUAUUUUUUUUUAUUCGCAUGGAACACAAUUUAUUUGAAUUUAGUGUUUGACACGAUAAAUUAUUCAAAAUUUCUUAAAAAUUUAUAGAAUAAUUUAAAUAACUAAAAUAUACACGAUUUUAAAAAAAAAAUCGAUGCAAAAUUUGUUCACUAUCCAACAAAAAAAACACAAAAAGUUUGCAUCCUAUAUAUAUAUAUAUAAGCGACAAAUUAAAAGGGCGAGUGACUAGCUAUAGGUUUUAUCUAUGAAAGCUAAGAAAAACAUAACAAAUUGGCCGAUAUGGCCACCAACCGACCAAAUGCUGAAGUUGCUAUAAAGGCCGGUUAACAAAGGCGUGCUGGGAUAGGUACAUUUUGCCAGCGCGUUUUGUUAAAAGCGCGGCAGCACUGUCUCAACAUAUGGUAUCUCCAACCCAUCCUUCCAUAUACGAGGCAGUGCUGUUUCAACAUAUGAUACAUCCAUACAUGUACGGAGCAACACCAUAACCUUAUUCGUGGCUAAUUCCACCGUCGUCGCAGCCACCGUAUCCCUACAUGUAUGGAGUAGGAUCGUCCACAUCACCUCCCCAAUAUCCCUGGCAGAUGCCGCCGCUGUAGCCACCACAACAACCACAGCUUCAACAAGAAGAUAAUAGGGAGGACAUGGCAGCUAAUUUAGGAGACUAGGUUUAUUUUAUUGUUAGUUAUUGUUACAUUAUAUGAACAAUAUGGAUAUUUGUUAUCUUAAUAUAUUAAUAAUAUAGAUAAUUGUUAUCUUAAUGAACUAAUUUGAAUAUUUAAUAUAAUAUUUUUAUUUUUCA
Humulus lupulus (European hop) is the source of this 3690-nucleotide long non-coding RNA. RefSeq lists it as uncharacterized. The transcript is spliced from 2 exons. Lineage: Eukaryota; Viridiplantae; Streptophyta; Magnoliopsida; Rosales; Cannabaceae. The record is from RefSeq and is a predicted model, not a curated record.